Molecule: long non-coding RNA, 4365 nt
Organism: Columba livia (rock pigeon)
Lineage: Eukaryota; Metazoa; Chordata; Aves; Columbiformes; Columbidae
Exons: 3
Source: RefSeq, a predicted model, not a curated record
AUGUGAAAGUACUCCUCUAGGCUCAGGGACUAACUCUUCAAAUGUGUAAUUUGUCUUGGUGGAGGGAGAGUCAGGCCUUUCUUGUGAAGAAAGUUCAAUCCAUUACAUGAUUGUUUGGGUAAUGAAGAUGUAAGAGGGGGCAACAAAGUAGUGGUCUUAGUAGUGUGAUCUUGUGCAGCAGUGUCUGAGUCAACAACAGCAAGAAUGAUGGCAGAAGUUCAGCAACAGGCAGUGAAGGUGGCAAUAGUGAACGUGAUGUUUUCAGCCAGCACACCCAGAGGAAGCCAGAUGUGGGCAGCUUCAAGUCUUCUGCCCCUCCUGACCACCUAUAGAAGCAGGAUAGUGAGGAAAAGGACCUUUAAUAUGAACAGAAGUAUUAUUUUGUCUUCAUGGAAACAAGCUAAACUUUAUCUAACAAAGAUGGUAGCAUAUUAAAAGAAAGAUAAAAGAUCAAGUAUUGUGUGAGCAGCUUAGAUACAAGUGGUUGGAAUAUGAUCAUGAUCAAGUGUUUCCCUUGUAUUAUAUCUUGAAUCACCAAUUUUUGUUUCAGCUGAUAUCUCUGUAUUUUUCCCAGUCUUUUCAUACUGUAGUGUGAGUGUUAGAAGUACACUGUGAGUGGGUACAGAGAACUUUGAUCUUCAAGUGCUUUUUUCAUGCAGUGUUACCCAACAGAUGUGACAGAAAAUGCAAACACCUCACAGGAUAAGUUUUCUCAGGAACAAAUAGAACAUCAGCAUCUGGAGUAUCUUCUGUAAUUUGACAGCUCUGUUUCUCUGGCCACCUGUCUCCUAAUACUGGGCCGUUAAAAGAACUUAAAUGUGGGAGGUUUAUGAAAUGAGCUAAAUGACUUCAAUAUAACUCACAGGAGACAACGUGAAAAAUGACCCAGUGUUGGAAUGAAUCUGAAUCAUCCGACAAUAAAUAUUGUUGCCUGUCAAUUCAUUGCAGAUAAAGGAUGGAUCAGAAGGGUCGAAGGACAUGUCUGUUUAUAAACAAAACAACAAAAACAACGAAAGGGAUUAUGACCGUUUAAAGUUUUUUCACGUUUCUGUACAAAUACAAACAGAUGUAAAGGUUCACCUGUGUCAAUUAACCUUGUUUUCUGAUAACUACAAAUUGGAUAUUCCUUUUUUUUCACCUGGUGUCAAUAUUUUUCAGUUGUGUUCUGUCUGUGGGCAUGUCUGAAUUUUAUCUUACAGCAAAUGACUGUUUCUGUAGAAACCUUCUUCACAUGCGUUUGACAGAAAGAACAGGUAUUUUGGAGAAGCAGUAGCUAAUUCAUAGUGAAGUGUUGAUGUACACAGUCCCAGACUGCUUCUUAUGAAAUUAGUUAUAUUGGAAAUCAAAAUCAGACUAAAUGAGACAUGAAAGGUGAAUAAAACCCAGGGGACUGUAGACAUGCUUUUGCUGGCUUCUUCCACCCGUUUUCUGAUGCAUUUUUCCUUUCUUGUCUCCCAGGGAAAAUCAAAUGUGAACUGUUGACCCACAUGUUCAAAACAGAUGUCCAAGAAAGACUGCAAUAAUCAGAUGUACACUCCUGUGUGUGUUUGUGUGUACAUAUUCAGACACACUCCUGCAGUUGUGUAGGCAGCAACCACUUCACAAACGAUAUUUUACUUGCUAGCUAAUUUUGACCUAACAUGUCACUAUAAAAAUUUAGGCCUGACAGAAUCUGCCUAAUACUAUACACCUCACUCUCAGUCUUGCUCAUGUUAUCUUAGGUGCUUAACAGUGAACGCUGUGAGUAAUCAUAGAGAAGGCAAUAUAACUAUUCUUCACAAGCAAUUAAAGCUAAGAUUCAACUCUCUAUUAAGACUGCAAGUCUCUUCUUCACUAGUAUUUAUUUAUAUAGAGAGAAAUAUAGAGAAAGACUAUACUAAUAAGUAGUUUAUACUAUUAAUACAAUAUAAGAGUGCUUGUGCUAGCAGCUGAUCAUCAUUCAUUUCUGAAAUAUAAAAAUAAGGCUUAUUCCAGAUUCUAAUCAAUAUUAAUUGGGAAUGCAAUCAUAUAAGAUAAAACCACAAGUUCCUCUGAACCAGCAAUAAAGAAAAAAAACAUAAAGGCAGAACUCAGGAAAAAAAAAAAUACCCACAAAUAUCGAAGCUGAUGGCAUAUUUUCCAUCAAAAAAGCUCUCUAUAAAUAGUCAUAAGCUUCUGAAUAUUUUGAAAUUAUUAAUAUAGGAUGAAGAAGGUUGUAGAAGUUUUCUGGGUGUGUCUGAAAUGGGACCCUGCUCAGUCUCUCCCUUGUGACAUAAGGAAUAUCUUAGCUUCACUAUCAUUGCUUAACUUAGAUGAAAUUUGGAGAGUAUCACAAGGUGAAAUUAAUGUUUACACAUUUAAAGCAUUUUCUUAAUCCCUCUAGCAGAAACUAGAAAGAAGUACUAUCUCUAAAUCUAUAAGAAACCCAGAAAGCAUAUUGUAUUGUUAACAAAGAUUGUUUGUAUUCUCUCCAAGAGAAAAUAAGUAGGCUUUUGCAUUUUAUGCAAUUUCAGUUUCUGUGUGCAUUUAGUCUGCAGCAGCAGAUAAAUUAUAAGGCUACAUGUGCAAUCCUGUGGUAAAGACGAGUCAUAGCUACAUUAUCUUAAAAAAAAAUUUGAAAAGCUCUACAUAAAAAGAAAAAAUAUGAGAAAAAUGACUAAUGGAUACAACUUCUGUAUUUGCUUUACCGACUGUGAAUGGUGAAUUCAAGAAAAAAGUGGCCAGCAUACAAUCUAAGCAUAUGCAGAAGAUACAGCCCCUGCUACAGUUUUCCUAAUAUUUCUCAAAUUAAACAACACUACUUCAUAUUAAUGGACAAUCUCAGAUAGUUUGGCCUUGACCUUGUUGGGCAAGACAUAGGGAUGAUUAAACUGAACAGAAAGAUCAACAUUAGAUGAUAAAUAGCUGAGAUGCAGUCAGAGAGUAUUUUAGUGGUUAAUCUCUUAAUUUUAAUUUUUUUUAAAUCAAGAGACGCACUCACCAGUUUUACUCACAAAGCAGAAAUCACAUCUUUGCACUGGUCAAUAGACAAGGUUGCAUACUGAGUGAAAACCCCUUUCUGUGUCUACAGAUCUAGUAAACCAUGAAUGAGUACCACAUUGCUAUGAAAACCAAGAAGUCUUCAGACAGUACAGAACAUUCUCCUCCCAUGCAGGUGUUAUGUCCAUGAAUUCAGAAAGCUUCUGUGUCUGGUCUUAGCUUCAGGAGAAACUUCACACUUCUGGAACAGCACAGUCAAUCAUGUUCAUUUAAUCCUAUCUCAGAAUUCAGAAAUAAGUUUCCAGAUUGAGAAUACUGUAUCAGAGCUAAUAAAGACAUGAGUCCUCCUGCAUUCAAAGGAUAUACAAAUAAGAGAAGCAUAUUACUCAUUUGGAAAUUAUUACUCAAUUAGACAUUUAUCUGUGACUGAACGUUCUGAAACCAUUCUAGUAAUGCAGUGCUAUCCUCUGUUAGUAUUGAUAUUAUUACAAGAUUAACCUUUAAUUAAUCUGUUGUGCAAAUAUAUUAUACAUCCACAGCCUGUUUUUAAGAUUUUUACCAACACAUGUCAGAACAACUUAUAAAAAAAUAUAUUAGUUGUAGUUCUUUGUAAUCGCUAUAUUACUUUGCAAUCUUGACUUGUCUCAGCUGCGUCCCCUGACCCAAUAUUUAUACUGAAUGCAUGGGCAAGUUUUGGCCAGGAUGGAGUUAAAUUUAACCGUUGUAGCUUGUAUGGGGCUAUUUGGAUUUGUGUUGAAAACAGUGUUGAUAACAUAGGGACGUUUCAGUUAAUUUUGAACAGUGCAACAUCAAGGACUUUUCUGCUUCUCACAUCCCCUGCCAGUGAAUAGCCUGGGAGAGCACAAGAAAUUUGGAGGUGCCACAGAUGGAACAGUCGAUCCCAGCUGACCAAAGGGAUAUCUGAUCCCAGAUGAUGUCGUGCAAUGAAAGCUGGAAGGAAGAAGGAAGGGGGGACUUUCAGAGUCAUGGCUUUUGUCUUCUCAAGUAACUGUUAUGCAUGAUGAAGCCCUGCUUUCCUGGCAACGGCUGAACACCUGCCUGACCACGGGAAGUGGUGAAUGGAUUCCUUGUUUUGCUUUGCCUGUGCAUUCAGCUUUUGCUUUAUCUAUUAUGUAAUUUUACUCUCAUCACAUGAAAUAUUGCAUAUUUAACCUUUCAGAUAUUUUCUCUGAAAAGUAAUUUAGAAAAAGAAAAAAAAAAAAAAACAGAAGAAUUCAAAUUUUAAAUUUUCCUAUGUAUUCUUCCAAGAAGUUGCUGUCUCAGAAAAAGCUUUUUUUCACAAAUCUGGUGAAGGAAUUUUGUACAAUAUGUUCACAAAAAUAACCUGUAACUAUACAAUCAGCAGUUUCUGAAAGACAAAAAUUAAAGUUUUUUAAGUGUUUAGAA